CUUCCAGCGUUCAGUUUAGCCCCUGCAUUACCACAAUUAUGCCGAUCAACGCGGAGACUGUUAAUCUUGCUGCUACGUACAUGAUCCUAGUGAUCCUGUUAUUCUUCUUGUGGUUGCUGUACUCAGCUGUCUUCUAAUUCACAUCUGCCGACUUUCUAUAAUUACCCGAUUAUAUUUAUAAAUGUGGAUAUGAGGGGCGUGGCGUGUGGGCGGUCGCGACACUUUGCUGUCAGAAUCAGUUUUCUGGAGUGUCCUGUCCAGUGAGCACUGUCCAGCCAUGCCGAACCACGAGACAACGAGCCUAAUCGCAACUUACCUUAUCCUGGUACUUCUACUCGCCAGUCUCUGGCUCUUGUACUCCGGAAUGUUCUGAGAUAAUGGUCGGGAGGAGGCAACAAAAAAGACCAAUGGAGGAAGUAGAAAAUACUACAUAAGUUUAGUUUAAGAAACCGUAAUGUUAGACUAAGUUAAGACCCCAAGCAUUUACGAUCGACGACACCGGGCUAAAAUAAUCAACCAUUAUUCAGUGCUGGGCAUUCCAAUAAAAGAAUUAGAAACACAAAUCAGUACGAUGUCCCAUUUUUUUCAUUCUGUGAAGAUUGUUAUCGUUAUUGUUAAGAACUAAGAAGAUUUGUAAUUAAAUUUUUGUAUUUA
Long non-coding RNA from Pieris napi, 654 nucleotides. RefSeq lists it as uncharacterized. The transcript is spliced from 3 exons. The record is from RefSeq and is a predicted model, not a curated record. Lineage: Eukaryota; Metazoa; Arthropoda; Insecta; Lepidoptera; Pieridae.